UACGUAGGGGGCUAGCGUUGUCCGGAAUCAUUGGGCGUAAAGCGCGUGUAGGCGGUCCGGUAAGUCCGCUGUGAAAGUCGGGGGCUCAACCCUCGGAUGCCGGUGGAUACUGUCGGGCUUGAGUACGGAAGAGGCGAGUGGAAUUCCUGGUGUAGCGGUGAAAUGCGCAGAUAUCAGGAGGAACACCCGUAGCGAAGGCGGCACUCUGGGCCGGAACUGACGCUGAGGAGCGAAAGCGUGGGGAGCAAACAGG
RNAcentral lists this ribosomal RNA (253 nucleotides) under uncultured bacterium. Its description in RNAcentral is "partial 16S ribosomal RNA". It matches the Rfam family "Bacterial small subunit ribosomal RNA", at positions 524 to 776 of the family's 1533-position model. The record is from RNAcentral.